UACGUGGUCCGGGACACACUGCCAUGGAACACUACCGCCACCGAGGGUACCGCGAAUUUCUUGACUAGACCACAGCGGUGGAGUCGACCUGGUCGCAUUUUGAGAGGGUCGUUCAGUGCCAUUCCUAUGGAAAAUGAAAAAUCACGGUGGAGUUAACAGUGGAAUUGGAGAACACGUGACAAUCAAAAAUAUUGUACCAUAAAUAAUAUUAUAUUUAUAUGUAUGAAUUUAUAUUAUUAUUAUACUCGCUGGUGUACUUUUUUUUUUUUAUGUCCUUAAAGUCUCUAUACCAUCGAAUAAAGUUAGGUGGAUCGUUU
This is a long non-coding RNA of Aphis gossypii (cotton aphid), 317 nucleotides long. RefSeq lists it as uncharacterized. The record is from RefSeq and is a predicted model, not a curated record. The transcript is spliced from 2 exons. Lineage: Eukaryota; Metazoa; Arthropoda; Insecta; Hemiptera; Aphididae.